UACGUAGGGUGCGAGCGUUGUCCGGAAUUAUUGGGCGUAAAGAGCUCGUAGGCGGUCUGUCACGUCGGUCGUGAAAACUUGGGGCUUAACCCUGAGCUUGCGGUCGAUACGGGCAUGACUUGAGUUCGGCAGGGGAGACUGGAAUUCCUGGUGUAGCGGUGGAAUGCGCAGAUAUCAGGAGGAACACCGAUGGCGAAGGCAGAUCUCUGGGCCGUAACUGACGCUGAGGAGCGAAAGCGUGGGGAGCGAACAGG
Molecule: ribosomal RNA, 254 nt
Filed under: uncultured bacterium
Lineage: Bacteria
Description: partial 16S ribosomal RNA
Rfam family: Bacterial small subunit ribosomal RNA
Source: RNAcentral